ACAGGUAAUUGAAGCACCUGCUAGGGGAGGUGAUUGUGACCUCCUAUUGAGGGAACCAGAACACAAAUAGAUUUUUAGACUAGGGACAGUCAAGAACAGCCUUAAUAUUAACAUAGAGUGGGGCCUGUUUAUGCACCAGGGAUUUAAUAUUCCAAAGAGUAUACUAGUUGAUCCAACUCCAAUUUGGAAUAUUGAAUAUGGAAACAGUAGAGUGUAUAAGAGCUUUUACAUCUAGGAUGCAGCACCUGAAUAGAGGUCAUAUGGCAUCGAAAUCAACAACACAUAGGUACGGUUUAAAGUAUAAGAAUGCAAAUCUGGUAUCCAACAAAAAAUAAAAAAAGAACGGCUUUGGAUUGGAUCACCCUUUGGACAAGCAAGAAGAAACCAGUUACAUUAAUAGGACCACUAUGUUGGACAAAGGCACAGGUAUGAGGGAAUAAUAUGUAUGACCGACACAUCAUUUUGUAGUUGAAUUAACACAAGUUUAAAAAUUCCCCACAUUUGUGUGUCCCAACUUUAAAUAAAUGAGAGCACAAAUAACAGCGUUCUUCACAACGUUUCUGAAGAUUUUUGACUGCAUUUUGCAAUGUGUGAUGACUAUAGAUGGUGAACUUUGUCUGGCCAGGGAAAAGCCAGAGGAAACUCUGGUGGAGGCUCAGAGUGGUCCUGAAGUGGGAAUCGGUCGUCCGACCUGAGUAUAGGAAAACACAAGAGGUGAUUGCUGGAAGGUUUUUAAAUUAAUCUUAACCUCUGGCAUUGUGAACCCCUGCAAACCAUUGUUUUUUGCAUGUCAAGCCAUUACAGAAGGGGAAAGACUAUAUGCAAAUCAAACUUUGCCCCACCUCAAAAGGGGCAGUCCAGCCCGAACUGCUAGGUCACAUCCCUUGUGCACGAGACCACAAGUAUCCCCUUUCUGUAAUGGCUUGGCAGGCGAAGAAUGAUGGUCUGGAGCAUUGCCCAGAGCAAUUGCCAGAGGUUCAAGAUUAAUUCUAAACCUUCCAGCCAUCACCCCUUUGUUUGGGUAUGGGUCAAAAGACUAAUUGAACCAUCUAGUAGCUUUUCCCUCUGACGUUUCUCUCGGAAUAGCUGGUGCUUGGAAACCCCAGUUUUAUCCGGUAAAGCAAAUGAUUAGAGGUCUUGGAGCCAAAACCAUAUGAACCUAUUCUCAAACCUUAAUUGGUUAAGUAGCCCGGGUCAGUGGCGUGGAACCGGGCAUCAAAUUAGUGUGCUGGGCUACUUUUGGUAAGCAGAACUGGUGCUGCGGGAUGAACUGAAUGCUGUGCUAAGGUGCCUGAUGUUGACGCUCAUCAGACCCCAUAAAAGGUGUUGGUUGAUAUAGACAGCAGGACGGUAGCCAUGGAAGUCAGAAUCCGCUAAGGAGUGUGUAACAACUCACCUGCCUAAUCAACUAGCCCUGAAAAUGGAUGGUGCUGGUGCGUCUGGCCGAUACCCAGCCAUCACUGAGAGCCACAGGGGCUAAGCAGUGACGAGUAGGACGGCCGCUGCAGUGUGCACAGAAGCCAAGGGCAAGGGCCCGGGUGGAGCCAUCACAGGGGCAGAUCUUGGUGGAAAGAGCAAAUAUUCAAACAAGUACUCUGAUGGUCGAAGUGGCGAAGAGUUCCAUGUACACAGCAGUUAAACAUGGGUCAGUAUGUCCUAGGAGAUGGGCAAGUGCCUUUCGGAAGGGUCCGUUGAUGGCAUCUGUUGCCCUCUGCAAAAUGAAACAGUCUGGUUCAGAUCACUGGAGUGGCGGAUAUGGCACGCUCAAAGCAUCCAGUGCAGAAAGGCAGACUAUCCCAAAGAAGCCGGUGGGAGCCCCGGGGGAGUUCCCUUUUCUUUGGGAAGGACAGGGCAACCUGGAAUGGGUUCACCCCGAGAGAGGGGCCUGGAAAGUGUUGCAGUUCCAGUGGUGUCCGGUGAGCUCUCGCUGGUCCUUGAAAAUCCAGGGGAGAUGGUGUAAAUCUCUCACCAGACCGUACCCAGACCCGCAGGAUAUCUCCAAGGUGAACAGUCACUGGCAUAUUGGAACAAUGUAGAUAAGGGAAGUCAGAUCUGUAACUUCGGGAUAAGGAUUGGCUCUUAGGGCUGGGUUGGCCCGGAUAGGCACACGCCAUGACAUCUCUCCCCCUGGGAGCGGUGCAGACUCUGGGCGCGAGCCGUCAAGCCCUUCCUGUGGAUUGCCCCAGCUGCGAUGGUACCCUCUCGCCAUUUCCAUCCUUGGGUUCGGGGUGGCAUUCUGCCUCAGUGGAUGCCUAGCAACUGAUUUGGAAUUGGUGCAGACCAGGGGAAUCUGUUGAAUUAACACCAAGCAUCGCAAAGGCCCACAGCGGGUGUUGAUAUGAUUUCUGAUUUCUGCUCAGUGCUCUAAAUAGCAAAGUGAAGAAAUUCAGUAACUAUGACUCUCUUAAGGUAGGCAAAUGCCUUGUCAUCUAAGUAAUGACGCUCAUGAAUGAAUGAGAUUCCCACUGUCCUUACCUACUAUCUAGAGAAACCAAAGCCAAGGCAAUAGGCGUGUUAGAAUCAUAAGGGAAAGAAGACCCAUCUCAGCUUGACUCUAGUCUGCCACUGUGAAGAGACAUGAGAGGUGUAGGAUAAGUGGGAGGCCCACAAGACACCUGUGAAAUACCACUAUUCUUAUUGUUUUUCACUUAGCUGGUGAGGCGGUCUGUCUCCUGUCAAACGAGAAAGCAGGUGUCCUAAAGCAAGCUAAAGGAGGACAGAAACCUCCCGCGCAGCAAAAGGGCAAAAGCUUGCUUGAUCUAGAUUUUCAGUAUAAAUACACACAGAAAAAGUGGGGCCUCACGAUCCUUCUGACUUUUUGGAUUUCAAGCAGGAGGUGUCAGGGACACCUGGCUUGUGGUGGCCAAGCGGUCAUACCGACAUCGCUUGUUCAUCCUUCGAAGUUGGCUCUUCCCAUCGUUGUGAAGCAGAAUUCACCAAACGUUGGAUUGUUCACCCACCAUUAGGGAACGUGAACUGGGUUAAGACUGUCGUCGGACAGGUUAGUUUUAACCUACCGAGGAUGUGUUGUUGCAAUAGUAAUCCUGCUGAUAGAAACUGCAGGUUCAGACAUUUGGUGUAUAUGCUUAGCCGAGAAGCCAAUGGGACGAAGCAACCAUCUGUGGGAUUGUGACUGAAUGCCUCUAGAUCAGAAUACCCCUAACCAUAAUGAUACUGCAGUGCUGUUGAGCCUCGAUUGGCCUAGGCUAGUCCCCCUGUAGGCUCUGGUGUGUAGAUCCACUUGCCUCAGGACAAGAGUGUGGACAGAAAGGGGGCCACCUCUCUCACACGUAGUGCACCGCAUGUUCAUGGGAACCUGGUGCAAAAUCAGACUACCUGAUUCUGGGUCAGGGUUUCUUAAGUAGCAGAGA
RNAcentral lists this ribosomal RNA (3371 nucleotides) under Ambystoma mexicanum (axolotl). RNAcentral's name for it is "eukaryotic LSU rRNA". It matches the Rfam family "Eukaryotic large subunit ribosomal RNA". The record is from RNAcentral. Lineage: Eukaryota; Metazoa; Chordata; Amphibia; Caudata; Ambystomatidae.